RNAcentral lists this ribosomal RNA (840 nucleotides) under uncultured bacterium. RNAcentral's name for it is "bacterial SSU rRNA". It matches the Rfam family "Bacterial small subunit ribosomal RNA", at positions 51 to 887 of the family's 1533-position model. The record is from RNAcentral.
ACACAUGCAAGUCGAACGAAGAUACUUAAAAUGAGAGCUUCGGCAGGAUUUUUAUUUAUCUUAGUGGCGGACGGGUGAGUAACGUGUGGGCAACCUGCCCUAUACUGGGGAAUAAUCACUGGAAACGGUGACUAAUACCGCAUGUCAUUACGGAAGGGCAUCCUUCUGUAAGAAAAGGAGUAAUUCGGUAUAGGAUGGGCCCGCAUCUGAUUAGCUAGUUGGUGAGAUAACAGCCCACCAAGGCGACGAUCAGUAGCCGACCUGAGAGGGUGAUCGGCCACAUUGGGACUGAGACACGGCCCAAACUCCUACGGGAGGCAGCAGUGGGGAAUAUUGCACAAUGGGGGAAACCCUGAUGCAGCAACGCCGCGUGAAGGAAGAAGGUUUUCGGAUCGUAAACUUCUAUCAACAGGGACGAAGAAAGUGACGGUACCUGAAUAAGAAGCCCCGGCUAACUACGUGCCAGCAGCCGCGGUAAUACGUAGGGGGCAAGCGUUAUCCGGAAUUACUGGGUGUAAAGGGAGCGUAGGCGGCACGCCAAGCCAGAUGUGAAAGCCCGAGGCUUAACCUCGCGGAUUGCAUUUGGAACUGGCGAGCUAGAGUACAGGAGAGGAAAGCGGAAUUCCUAGUGUAGCGGUGAAAUGCGUAGAUAUUAGGAAGAACACCAGUGGCGAAGGCGGCUUUCUGGACUGAAACUGACGCUGAGGCUCGAAAGCGUGGGGAGCAAACAGGAUUAGAUACCCUGGUAGUCCACGCCGUAAACGAUGAGUGCUAGGUGUCGGGGAGGAAUCCUCGGUGCCGCAGCUAACGCAAUAAGCACUCCACCUGGGGAGUACGACC